AUCGUAAAACCUUCAGAAGGAAAGAAUGUUUUGUGGACCAUUUUUUUUUGUGUGUGUGGCAGUUUUAAGUU
This 71-nucleotide microRNA precursor is filed under the name Rattus norvegicus (Norway rat). Its description in RNAcentral is "mir-703 microRNA precursor family". It matches the Rfam family "mir-703 microRNA precursor family". The record is from Rfam by way of RNAcentral. Lineage: Eukaryota; Metazoa; Chordata; Mammalia; Rodentia; Muridae.